This 1130-nucleotide long non-coding RNA is filed under the name Canis lupus dingo (dingo). Its description in RNAcentral is "lncRNA (ENSCAFG00020010127.1)". Lineage: Eukaryota; Metazoa; Chordata; Mammalia; Carnivora; Canidae. The record is from RNAcentral.
AGUCCCCAACCCCGCGGUCACAUUUGCUCAAGGAGCUAUCCCUGGAGUGGACACCAGGGGGCACUGAGCUCGGCCAGUCUCAGCUCGCGAUCGGGUUUCACGCCCACGUUCUUAGGAGGACGCCGCGCGGUGACGUCAUAUCCGCGCCUACCCGUCACGCUUCCGGGAGGGGAGGCCCCCCUCCCCUCCCAAAAAAAAACCCAGACAGGAGCCGAACGUAAACAUCCCCGGAGUUUCUUGGGUCUGCGGCCUGGCGUCUGCGGAGGAGCUCCAAGCUUUGGCGGAUUGUUGCAGCGAGUAGAAGUCAGGCGGCGCCAGGUUAGUCCGACCGACAAGCGGGGACGCCGAAGCCCAUGGCGGGGCGGCUUUUGGUCGGGCGUGAGCUCAGUCGGCCACGCCGGUGAGGUGCGUCCGUGCGCGCCAGGGGCGCAUGCGCAAGGUGAGCCUGACGGCGGGCGGCGGGCGGCGGGCGGCGGGCGGCCAGCGGAGGCACCUGUCCGCCGCCCAGGAGGCCGCGCGGGUCGCUGGCGGGGUCGUGUCCGCGGGCACCUGCCCCACGGGGUCUCGGCAGCAGGAGGGGCUGCGACGGGUGUGCAGAGCGCAUGCGCCCGGCGCCAGGAGGCAUCAUAGCAGAGUGAUUUUGAGGGGGCUUAGGAGUGGCUAGAAUCUGUGUGCUCUUGGGCAAGUAUUCCUUUGCCAUGCCUCACUGCCUUCAAAAAGGAGGCGGGGAGUGGGAAUAUAGCCUUUACUUCAUGGGAUCGUUUUGAAGACUUAAGACCCUUUAAGGUAUGUGAAGUGUUUAUUAGCAAAGAGCCGGGUACUUAGGAAAAAUGUUCAUUGGGAUUGUGUUAUUAGAAUUUAAGAGUACAACAGUCGGCAUAUAUAAAAUUUAGAAACUUUCAUUGUGUCUGUAUGGGUAAAUUUGAUUUGACCAGGGGGAUCCCUGGGUGGCUUAGCAGUUGAGCAUCUGCCUUUGACUCAGGGAGUGAUCUCAGGGUCUGGGAUCAAGUCCCACAUCAGGCUCCUGCAGAGAGCCUGCUUCUCCCUCUGCCUAUGUCUCUGCCUCUCUCUCUCUCUCUGUCUCUCAUGAAUGGAUAAAUAAAAUCUUUUAAAAAAAACUGAUUUGACCA